Jaculus jaculus (lesser Egyptian jerboa) is the source of this 107-nucleotide small nuclear RNA. Lineage: Eukaryota; Metazoa; Chordata; Mammalia; Rodentia; Dipodidae. The record is from RefSeq and is a predicted model, not a curated record.
UUGUGCUUGCUUUGGCACUAUAAUACUAAAAUUGGAAUGAUACAUAGAAGAUUAGCAUGGCCGCUGCGCAAGCAUGACAUGCAAAUUGUGAAGUGUUCCACAUAUUU